RNAcentral lists this ribosomal RNA (253 nucleotides) under uncultured bacterium. Its description in RNAcentral is "partial 16S ribosomal RNA". It matches the Rfam family "Bacterial small subunit ribosomal RNA", at positions 524 to 776 of the family's 1533-position model. The record is from RNAcentral.
UACGUAGGUGGCAAGCGUUGUCCGGAUUUACUGGGCGUAAAGCGCGCGCAGGUGGCCUGUCGCGUCCGAGGUGAAAUCUCCCGGCUCAACUGGGAGGGGUCUUCGGAUACGGGCAGGCUUGAGGAGAGCAGAGGUAGGCGGAAUUCUGGGUGUAGUGGUGAAAUGCGUAGAUAUCCAGAGGAACACCAGUGGCGAAGGCGGCCUACUGGGCUCCACCUGACACUGAGGCGCGAAAGCGUGGGGAGCGAACCGG